Molecule: long non-coding RNA, 242 nt
Filed under: Gossypium barbadense (sea-island cotton)
Lineage: Eukaryota; Viridiplantae; Streptophyta; Magnoliopsida; Malvales; Malvaceae
Description: long non-coding RNA (GBAR_LNC000671)
Source: RNAcentral
AACUAUCUUGGUGUUCAAUUGGGCAGAAUCACAAUCUCCUUGAGGGUUUCAAGAACCCUAACACUUAUUUCUAUUCUCAAUUUGAUUCUUUGCUGAUUUGGGGAUUUUAUUUCAGAUCUGAAAAUUAAAAAAAUCUAAUCUUUUAAUUUUCUGUUUCGUUUCAGAUCUAAUUGUUUAGGGUUUUCGUAGGAGUUUCCCGUGACUUGGCAACUCGAUCUUGGUCCGCGCGCAACCCCGUAUCA